CCUACGGGUGGCAGCAGUGAGGAAUAUUGGUCAAUGGACGAGAGUCUGAACCAGCCAAGUAGCGUGAAGGAUGACUGCCCUAUGGGUUGUAAACUUCUUUUAUAAAGGAAUAAAACGAGGCACGUGUGCCUUUUUGCAUGUACUUUAUGAAUAAGGAUCGGCUAACUCCGUGCCCGCAGCCGCGGUAAUACGGAGGAUCCGAGCGUUAUCCGGAUUUAUUGGGUGUAAAGGGAGCGUAGGUGGAUUGUUAAGUCAGUUGUGAAAGUUUGCGGCUCAACCGUAAAAUUGCAGUUGAAACUGGCAGUCUUGAGUACAGUAGAGGUGGGCGGAAUUCGUGGUGUAGCGGUGAAAUGCUUAGAUAUCACGAAGAACUCCGAUUGCGAAGGCAGUUCACUGGACUGCAACUGACACUGAGGCUCGAAAGUGUGGGUAUCAAACAGGAUUAGAUACCCUUGUAGUC
This 460-nucleotide ribosomal RNA is filed under the name uncultured bacterium. Its description in RNAcentral is "partial 16S ribosomal RNA". It matches the Rfam family "Bacterial small subunit ribosomal RNA", at positions 338 to 795 of the family's 1533-position model. The record is from RNAcentral.